This 2527-nucleotide ribosomal RNA is filed under the name Salmonella enterica subsp. enterica serovar Enteritidis. RNAcentral describes it as "bacterial LSU rRNA". It matches the Rfam family "Bacterial large subunit ribosomal RNA", at positions 430 to 2925 of the family's 2925-position model. The record is from RNAcentral. Lineage: Bacteria; Pseudomonadati; Pseudomonadota; Gammaproteobacteria; Enterobacterales; Enterobacteriaceae.
UAUCCUGUCUGAAUAUGGGGGGACCAUCCUCCAAGGCUAAAUACUCCUGACUGACCGAUAGUGAACCAGUACCGUGAGGGAAAGGCGAAAAGAACCCCGGCGAGGGGAGUGAAAAAGAACCUGAAACCGUGUACGUACAAGCAGUGGGAGCACCCUUUGGGUGUGACUGCGUACCUUUUGUAUAAUGGGUCAGCGACUUAUAUUCUGUAGCAAGGUUAACCGAAUAGGGGAGCCGGAGGGAAACCGAGUCUUAACCGGGCGUUAAGUUGCAGGGUAUAGACCCGAAACCCGGUGAUCUAGCCAUGGGCAGGUUGAAGGUUGGGUAACACUAACUGGAGGACCGAACCGACUAAUGUUGAAAAAUUAGCGGAUGACCUGUGGCUGGGGGUGAAAGGCCAAUCAAACCGGGAGAUAGCUGGUUCUCCCCGAAAGCUAUUUAGGUAGCGCCUCGUGAAUUCAUCUCCGGGGGUAGAGCACUGUUUCGGCUAGGGGGCCAUCCCGGCUUACCAACCCGAUGCAAACUGCGAAUACCGGAGAAUGUUAUCACGGGAGACACACGGCGGGUGCUAACGUCCGUCGUGAAGAGGGAAACAACCCAGACCGCCAGCUAAGGUCCCAAAGUCAUGGUUAAGUGGGAAACGAUGUGGGAAGGCCCAGACAGCCAGGAUGUUGGCUUAGAAGCAGCCAUCAUUUAAAGAAAGCGUAAUAGCUCACUGGUCGAGUCGGCCUGCGCGGAAGAUGUAACGGGGCUAAACCAUGCACCGAAGCUGCGGCAGCGACACUGUGUGUUGUUGGGUAGGGGAGCGUUCUGUAAGCCUGUGAAGGUGUGUCGUGAGGCAUGCUGGAGGUAUCAGAAGUGCGAAUGCUGACAUAAGUAACGAUAAAGCGGGUGAAAAGCCCGCUCGCCGGAAGACCAAGGGUUCCUGUCCAACGUUAAUCGGGGCAGGGUGAGUCGACCCCUAAGGCGAGGCCGAAAGGCGUAGUCGAUGGGAAACGGGUUAAUAUUCCCGUACUUGGUGUUACUGCGAAGGGGGGACGGAGAAGGCUAUGUUGGCCGGGCGACGGUUGUCCCGGUUUAAGCGUGUAGGUGUGUGUUCCAGGUAAAUCCGGUUCACUUUAACACUGAGGCGUGACGACGAGGCACUACGGUGCUGAAGCAACAAAUGCCCUGCUUCCAGGAAAAGCCUCUAAGCAUCAGGUAACAUCAAAUCGUACCCCAAACCGACACAGGUGGUCAGGUAGAGAAUACCAAGGCGCUUGAGAGAACUCGGGUGAAGGAACUAGGCAAAAUGGUGCCGUAACUUCGGGAGAAGGCACGCUGACACGUAGGUGAAGUGAUUUACUCAUGGAGCUGAAGUCAGUCGAAGAUACCAGCUGGCUGCAACUGUUUAUUAAAAACACAGCACUGUGCAAACACGAAAGUGGACGUAUACGGUGUGACGCCUGCCCGGUGCCGGAAGGUUAAUUGAUGGGGUCAGCGCAAGCGAAGCUCCUGAUCGAAGCCCCGGUAAACGGCGGCCGUAACUAUAACGGUCCUAAGGUAGCGAAAUUCCUUGUCGGGUAAGUUCCGACCUGCACGAAUGGCGUAAUGAUGGCCAGGCUGUCUCCACCCGAGACUCAGUGAAAUUGAACUCGCUGUGAAGAUGCAGUGUACCCGCGGCAAGACGGAAAGACCCCGUGAACCUUUACUAUAGCUUGACACUGAACAUUGAGCCUUGAUGUGUAGGAUAGGUGGGAGGCUUUGAAGUGUGGACGCCAGUCUGCAUGGAGCCGACCUUGAAAUACCACCCUUUAAUGUUUGAUGUUCUAACGUGGACCCGUUACCCGGGUUGCGGACAGUGUCUGGUGGGUAGUUUGACUGGGGCGGUCUCCUCCUAAAGAGUAACGGAGGAGCACGAAGGUUGGCUAAUCCUGGUCGGACAUCAGGAGGUUAGUGCAAUGGCAUAAGCCAGCUUGACUGCGAGCGUGACGGCGCGAGCAGGUGCGAAAGCAGGUCAUAGUGAUCCGGUGGUUCUGAAUGGAAGGGCCAUCGCUCAACGGAUAAAAGGUACUCCGGGGAUAACAGGCUGAUACCGCCCAAGAGUUCAUAUCGACGGCGGUGUUUGGCACCUCGAUGUCGGCUCAUCACAUCCUGGGGCUGAAGUAGGUCCCAAGGGUAUGGCUGUUCGCCAUUUAAAGUGGUACGCGAGCUGGGUUUAGAACGUCGUGAGACAGUUCGGUCCCUAUCUGCCGUGGGCGCUGGAGAACUGAGGGGGGCUGCUCCUAGUACGAGAGGACCGGAGUGGACGCAUCACUGGUGUUCGGGUUGUCAUGCCAAUGGCACUGCCCGGUAGCUAAAUGCGGAAGAGAUAAGUGCUGAAAGCAUCUAAGCACGAAACUUGCCCCGAGAUGAGUUCUCCCUGAGACUUAGAGUCUCCUGAAGGAACGUUGAAGACGACGACGUUGAUAGGCCGGGUGUGUAAGCGCAGCGAUGCGUUGAGCUAACCGGUACUAAUGAACCGUGAGGCUUAACCUUACAACGCCGAAG